Molecule: non-coding RNA, 23 nt
Filed under: Cricetulus griseus (Chinese hamster)
Lineage: Eukaryota; Metazoa; Chordata; Mammalia; Rodentia; Cricetidae
Source: RNAcentral
CUUGCCCAUUCAACACCAGGACC